GGGUCAUAAUUGUACAUUACUGCCAUUUUUAUUAAUUAUAAAUACAUGCAUGGAGCACAGAGAAAAGUCAGGUAAUUGUUUGAAUUUCCACAAACUCAUGGCAAUACUACUUUUGCUUGCUCUGCCUUUGAUUUUAUACUCUCCAUCAUUGUCUUCAGCAUCUGAUAGUCUAACCAAAGGCUCAUCUUUAUUAGUGGAGAACACAAACGAUCGUUUGAUUUCACCAAGUGGCACUUUCAUUGCCGGAUUCUUCCCCGUCGGUGAUAACGCUUACUGCUUUGCCAUAUGGUUUGAUGAACCUUUCUGCAAUAACAAUUGCACUAUAGUUUGGAUGGCAAACCGUGACCAACCAGUUAAUGGGAAACGUUCCGCGCUCUCUCUGCUAAAAUCUGGUAAUCUUAUCUUAACUGAUGCUGGUCGAAUCACAGUUUGGGCUACGGACACAGUUUCAGAAUCUUCAGUGCACUUACAACUUCAGGAAAGUGGCAAUCUUGUACUGAACAACUCGGAAGGAGAUAUUCUUUGGCAAAGCUUCGAUUUCCCCACGAAUACUCUCCUUCUGCUUCAGCCACUAAGCAAAGAUAAGCAGCUUGUCUCCUCAAGAAGUCAAACCAACUAUAGUUCAGGAUUCUACAAGCUUUUGUUCGACAAUGAUAACGUUCUCCAUCUUCUUUUUGCUAGUCCAAGUAUCACAAGCCUUUACUGGCCAGAUCCUGAGCUCUUGGUCUUUGAAGCUAAAAGAUCUACUUACAACAACAGUAGAAGGGCUUAUUUUGAUCCUUCGGGCAAUUUCAGUUCAUCAGAUUCGUUCUUUUCUAAGUCAGCGGAUUAUGGAGCGAAAUUCCAAAGAAGAUUGACGAUAGAUAGCGAUGGAAAUCUUCGAUUGUACAGUCGAGAAGAUAAACGAGACGCGUGGACUGUUUCAUGGCAGGCCAUAUCUCAAACUUGCAGUAUUCAUGGGAUUUGUGGACCAAAUAGCGUCUGCAGCUAUGUUCCUAGUUCUGGUAGGAAUUGUUCCUGCCUCCGGGGAUUCAAGAUGAAGGAUGUAACUGACUGGUCUUUGGGAUGUGAGCCAGAAAUCAAGCUUUGUUCAACCAAUGAGACCAAUUUCCUUAGACUAACUCAUGUCCAAUUUUAUGGGUAUGACUAUGGCUUCUAUCCGAAUUACACCUUAGAUAGGUGUAAAGAAGUAUGCUCCCAAAGAUGUGAUUGCCCUGGGUUCCAAUUCAGAUUCAGCAAGCAUGGUAACCCGAAUAACAUUCCUUAUUGUUUUGUGAAGUUCCGGUUGCUAAACGGGUAUCGUUCGCCGAGUUUUGAAGAAGAUUUUUACUUGAAAGUGCCAAUAACAAGUCCCUUGUACUCUGCACCGGUGGAAGAAUCAAGGUUACAUUGCGCAGUUGAAAUUACCAAGCUAGACAGAGUGUAUACAAAAAUCCCUGAAAAUGGAACACUAAAGUUUUUGCUUUGGUUUGCUUCGAUUGUUGGAGCAAUUGAGUUCACUGGUAUUUUCUUGGUAUGGUGUUUCUUGAUGAGAACACACCAGACCUCCGUCGUAGUUAAGCAAGAUUACCUUGAAGUUGCAACUGGCUUUAGAAAAUUCACCUACACCGAGCUGGAAAAGGCAACCCAUGGUUUCCGUGAAGAAAUUGGAAGAGGAGCAGGAGGAAUUGUUUACAGAGGAGUACUAUCUGAUCAUAGAAUUGCAGCAGUAAAGCGACUGAUCGAUGAAGCUAGCCAAGGUGAAGCGCAGUUUCGGGCCGAAGUUAGUGUGAUUGGGAAGCUUAAUCACAUGAACCUGAUAGAGAUGUGGGGAUAUUGUGCGGAGGGAAAGCACAGGCUUGUGGUUUACGAGUGCAUGGAGCAUGGAUCCUUGGCAGAUAAUCUCUCUUCUAACACUCUUGAUUGGAAGCAGAGGUUUAACAUUGCCUUAGGUGUAGCCAAAGGCCUUUCCUAUUUACAUGAAGAGUGCCUGGAGUGGGUUCUACACUGUGAUAUAAAGCCUCAAAACAUACUGCUAGACCUUGGUUACCAGCCAAAGGUGUCAGAUUUUGGCCUGUCUCAUCUACUGAAAACAGAUAGCCAUGGAAUUUCAAGGCUUUCAAGGAUUAGAGGUACUAGAGGUUACAUUGCUCCAGAGUGGGUUUUGAAUCUGCCCAUCACUUCCAAGGUGGAUGUUUAUAGCUAUGGAAUGGUCUUAUUGGAGAUGGUAACUGGAAAAAGCCCAACAGCAGAUAUAGAGGACAGAAGACUGGUUACAUGGGUAAAAGAAAAUAUUAAAGGAGCUUCUGCAAUGGAUUUGAGUAUGGAAAAGAUUGUAAACCCUGAUGUGGAAGGAAAUUAUGACAAGACCCAGAUGAAAAUCCUUGUUGGGGUGGCUUUAAAAUGUGCAAAUGAAGACAAAGAUACGAGACCCACCAUGAGACAAGUUGUUGAGAUGCUUCUGCAAUAUGAGAAGCAUAACUCUGAAUCUGUUGAAUUCACCAUUGAAUAGCGAAAUGGAAGUCCA
RNAcentral lists this unclassified non-coding RNA (2506 nucleotides) under Hevea brasiliensis (rubber tree). Lineage: Eukaryota; Viridiplantae; Streptophyta; Magnoliopsida; Malpighiales; Euphorbiaceae. The record is from RNAcentral.